RNAcentral lists this long non-coding RNA (720 nucleotides) under Rattus norvegicus (Norway rat). Its description in RNAcentral is "long non-coding RNA NONRATT003229". The record is from RNAcentral. Lineage: Eukaryota; Metazoa; Chordata; Mammalia; Rodentia; Muridae.
CAUAGAUAUUAGGGCAUGGAAUAUUCAGGGAACAGUUAUUUUGCUUAACUAUCUCUCCUUCUGGCCCUCAAAGAUUCAUGUCUGUCCCACAUGCAUAAGGACAUUUCCCAAGAUUCUAACCAUGUCAGAGUCCAAAAAGGCCCAUAUCCUAAAGUCCCAAAUCUUACCAGUCAUCAAAACUAAAGGGCUGAGGUGUACUCAGCAGAGGCAUGCUUAUCACAGGCUUGAGGACCUGGGGUCAUUUCCAACACUGUGUCCCACCUACGCUGGGCUGGGCCAAGCACAGCCUAACAACUACAGGCUCCUGACAGGAAGGACCCUCAAAGCAGUGUGCACAUCAGUGUGGAGGGCUGGACAGAUGACUCACUAUUGAAGAGGGAUCGCUGUUCUUGCAGAGGAUCUGGUUUUGGGUCCCAGCACCCACAUCAGGUGGUUUGCAACUGCCUGCAACUCCAGGUCCAGGGGAUCCAAUGUCUCUGGCCUUCUUGGUUUCAACGUACAUACAUAUACAUUAAACAAACAUUUAAAAUAGUUUAAAAGUCAUCCACGUAGUAGCUAGGCAUGGUGGCACUUAACUAAUUCCAGCACUGGGGAGGCAGAGGUGAGCAUGAAUCCCUGAGUUCCAGGCCAGCCUGGUCUACACAGUGAGUUCUAGGUCAGCUGGAGCUACUAAGUGAGACACUAUUUUAAAACACAAAUUAACAAACAAAUAAACAAAAA